UACGUAGGGUGCAAGCGUUGUCCGGAAUUAUUGGGCGUAAAGAGCUCGUAGGCGGUCUGUUACGUCGGCUGUGAAAACCUGGGGCUCAACCCCGGGCCUGCAGCCGAUACGGGCAGACUAGAGUUCGGCAGGGGAGACUGGAAUUCCUGGUGUAGCGGUGAAAUGCGCAGAUAUCAGGAGGAACACCGGUGGCGAAGGCGGGUCUCUGGGCCGAAACUGACGCUGAGGAGCGAAAGCGUGGGGAGCAAACAGG
This 253-nucleotide ribosomal RNA is filed under the name uncultured bacterium. Its description in RNAcentral is "partial 16S ribosomal RNA". It matches the Rfam family "Bacterial small subunit ribosomal RNA", at positions 524 to 776 of the family's 1533-position model. The record is from RNAcentral.